Molecule: long non-coding RNA, 1112 nt
Filed under: Homo sapiens (human)
Lineage: Eukaryota; Metazoa; Chordata; Mammalia; Primates; Hominidae
Description: HSALNT0385851
Source: RNAcentral
CCAGGCGGAAGCAGGCGAAGCCGCGCUCGGUGAAAGACAGGAUCUUGCUCUGUCCCCCAGGCUGGAGUGCAGUGACGUGAUCGUAGUUCACUGCAGCCUUGAACUCCUGGGCUCAAGCAGUCCUCUCACCUCAGUCUCCCGAGUAGCUAGAACUACAGGCUAAUUUCUUAAUUUUAUUAUUUGUAGAGAUGGGUCUAUGCUGCCCAGGCUGGUCUUGAAUGCCAGGCUUCAGGGAAUCCUCCUGCCUCGACCUCCCAAAAUGCUGGGAUUACAGGCAUGAGGCACCUUGCAUGGCCCAUCUUAACCAUUUUUCAGAGGCAUUAAGUACAUACACAUUGUUGUCGGGCUGUCACCACCAUGAAUUUUUCAUUUAUAGUUGGCACCCAAAUGAUGGUGGAUUAGGGAUCUGCAGCCCACUACCCCAGAGGAGGUCAUCCAGGCCAGCCUCCCAUUUCCAGGGUAAGAAUGAGAAACAGAGGCUUAGAAGAUGAGGCCAUUCUCUCGGCGGGGGGCGGGGGGGUAUGUUCUUUGCCUUGUUCUAGUGUAAGAGGUGAGAUUGGAUUGUCCAAGGCUAGGGCAGGGCAUAAGACUAGGGUUCCAUCAGGGCUGGGGGAAAGGGCAGGUGGGGUGCUAAUAAGGACUUGCUGAGUGAUCUGAUGACCAUUAUUAGGAUUAGAAUAUUUGUUUUGUCUCCUUGUGGGGACAGCAUUCUUUUGAGACUGUGCCUGGUGGGUUGCGAGCUUGCCCAGUGGCCCUGGCAGAUCCCUUGUGGCCCCUAUGCCUGCCUGCCAGGACUCAGCUCCCUCGGCCUACCCAGUCCUGCACACUUAGGCCAGUUUGUCUAUGACAAGGAGAGAGAAGAAUGGCUGUUUUGUCCACUUGAUUGCCUUGCUUUCUAGACCAUCUUGGGCCCAAAGGUCUAGGCUUUGCAAACUCUUCACUGCCUCGCUCCUUGGAGGUGCUUGGAAACUUUUUCUCCCCCUGUUUUCUCUGUAAUUGAAAUUUGCCCUUUCGUUACCUGGGCAUGAAUUAUUUUUUGCAGUGUUGUCAUUCCCUAUCCUGCUGUGAGGUUUAUCUCUUCUGUUGAUCCUAAUUAAAUAAAACAUACUGUU